This 497-nucleotide ribosomal RNA is filed under the name uncultured bacterium. RNAcentral describes it as "partial 16S ribosomal RNA". It matches the Rfam family "Bacterial small subunit ribosomal RNA", at positions 28 to 507 of the family's 1533-position model. The record is from RNAcentral.
GAUGAACGCUGGCGGCGUGCCUAAUACAUGCAAGUCGAGCGAACAGACGAGGAGCUUGCUCCUCUGACGUUAGCGGCGGACGGGUGAGUAACACGUGGAUAACCUACCUAUAAGACUGGGAUAACUUCGGGAAACCGGAGCUAAUACCGGAUAAUAUAUUGAACCGCAUGGUUCAAUAGUGAAAGACGGUUUUGCUGUCACUUAUAGAUGGAUCCGCGCCGCAUUAGCUAGUUGGUAAGGUAACGGCUCACCAAGGCGACGAUGCGUAGCUGACCUGAGAGGAUGAUCGGCCACACUGGAACUGAGACACGGUCCAGACUCCUACGGGAGGCAGCAGUGGGGAAUCUUGCACAAUGGGCGAAAGCCUGACGGAGCAACGCCGCGUGAGUGAUGAAGGUCUUCGGAUCGUAAAACUCUGUUAUUAGGGAAGAACAGAUGUGUAAGUAACUAUGCACGUCUUGACGGUACCUAAUCAGAAAGCCACGGCUAACUACGUG